Imleria badia is the source of this 81-nucleotide non-coding RNA. Lineage: Eukaryota; Fungi; Basidiomycota; Agaricomycetes; Boletales; Boletaceae. The record is from the annotation of a GenBank genome assembly.
GGCUGCCUGGCGAAAUGGCAUCGCGUCUGACUACGAUACUACGUAAUCAGGAGAUUGCAGGUUCGACCCCUGCGGCGGUCA